Molecule: long non-coding RNA, 106 nt
Organism: Priapulus caudatus
Lineage: Eukaryota; Metazoa; Priapulida; Priapulimorpha; Priapulimorphida; Priapulidae
Exons: 3
Source: RefSeq, a predicted model, not a curated record
GUGCGUUCUCUGCGGGCGUAUAGGUACCUGUUAUGUGCGUGCGUGCUCGCGCGCGGUAUAUAGCUAUCUGCUUAUGUGCGUGCGUGCGUUCUGCGCGGGCGUAUAG